UAACAUGUUUGUGGCGUUGUCUGACACU
RNAcentral lists this small RNA (28 nucleotides) under Bombyx mori (domestic silkworm). RNAcentral's name for it is "ovarian small RNA-18671". Lineage: Eukaryota; Metazoa; Arthropoda; Insecta; Lepidoptera; Bombycidae. The record is from RNAcentral.